This 139-nucleotide small RNA is filed under the name Gibbsiella quercinecans. RNAcentral's name for it is "Yersinia sRNA 155(RyfD)". It matches the Rfam family "Yersinia sRNA 155(RyfD)". The record is from RNAcentral. Lineage: Bacteria; Pseudomonadati; Pseudomonadota; Gammaproteobacteria; Enterobacterales; Yersiniaceae.
AGGACGAUCCACUGACGCAUAACGUGGUACUCAUAAUAAAGUGUUGGAAUAACCUUGAAAAUUUGAGGGAUGACCUCAUUUAAUCUCCAGUAGCAAUUCUGACCUGUAUUGGAGGUGUUAUGCGUCUGGAUCGUCUUAC